Molecule: transfer RNA, 71 nt
Filed under: Bos taurus (domestic cattle)
Lineage: Eukaryota; Metazoa; Chordata; Mammalia; Artiodactyla; Bovidae
Also listed under: 1 other name
Rfam family: tRNA
About the family: Transfer RNA (tRNA) molecules are approximately 80 nucleotides in length. Their secondary structure includes four short double-helical elements and three loops (D, anti-codon, and T loops).
Source: Rfam by way of RNAcentral
CUCCUGAUAGCUCAGUUGGUAAAGAAUCCACCUGCAAUGCGGAAGACCCGGGUUCAAUCCCUGUUGGGAAG